This 599-nucleotide ribosomal RNA is filed under the name Companilactobacillus farciminis. RNAcentral's name for it is "bacterial SSU rRNA". It matches the Rfam family "Bacterial small subunit ribosomal RNA", at positions 60 to 629 of the family's 1533-position model. The record is from RNAcentral. Lineage: Bacteria; Bacillati; Bacillota; Bacilli; Lactobacillales; Lactobacillaceae.
CGACGAACCAUCCUGUUGAUUGAAGCUUGCUUCUUGAUUCAGAUUUUGGUGAGUGGCGGACGGGUGAGUAACACGUGGGUAACCUGCCCAAAAGUGGGGGAUAACAUUUGGAAACAAGUGCUAAUACCGCAUAACAACUGCUUUCACAUGAUCGCAGCUUGAAAGAUGGCUCUGCUAUCGCUUUUGGAUGGACCCGCGGCGUAUUAGCUAGUUGGUGAGGUAAUAGCUCACCAAGGCAAUGAUACGUAGCCGACCUGAGAGGGUAAUCGGCCACAUUGGGACUGAGACACGGCCCAAACUCCUACGGGAGGCAGCAGUAGGGAAUCUUCCACAAUGGGCGAAAGCCUGAUGGAGCAAUGCCGCGUGAGUGAAGAAGGUUUUCGGAUCGUAAAACUCUGUUGUUGAAGAAGAACAUGCGUGAGAGUAACUGUUCACGUACUGACGGUAUUCAACCAGAAAGCCACGGCUAACUACGUGCCAGCAGCCGCGGUAAUACGUAGGUGGCAAGCGUUGUCCGGAUUUAUUGGGCGUAAAGAGAAUGUAGGCGGUUUAUUAAGUUUGAAGUGAAAGCCCUCGGCUCAACCGAGGAAGUGCUUCGA